AACAAAUUAUUAAAACCGCUUACAUUUAAGAAAAGGAGAUGGGAAGAUGGGAACAAUCGUUUGUCAGGAUUGCAACAGCACAAUCAGCCAUUUUGAGGAUGAAAAAGUCUCCACUUUGUACGGAAGAUGCUUAAAUUGUGAGUGUGAAAAAACAGAAAUCAAACGGUAAACAUGACAAGGGGUUAAGAUAAAAAGGGAAAAGCAUGCGCUGAAUCUGGCGCAUGCUUUUAU
Molecule: small RNA, 231 nt
Filed under: Bacillus sp. SJS
Lineage: Bacteria; Bacillati; Bacillota; Bacilli; Caryophanales; Bacillaceae
Description: SR1 sRNA
Rfam family: SR1 sRNA
Source: Rfam by way of RNAcentral